Molecule: ribosomal RNA, 429 nt
Filed under: Actinomycetes bacterium
Lineage: Bacteria; Bacillati; Actinomycetota; Actinomycetes
Description: Actinobacteria bacterium partial 16S ribosomal RNA
Rfam family: Bacterial small subunit ribosomal RNA
Source: RNAcentral
UAGGGAAUCUUCCGCAAUGGGCGAAAGCCUGACGGAGCAACGCCGCGUGAGUGAUGAAGGUCUUCGGAUCGUAAAACUCUGUUAUUAGGGAAGAACAUAUGUGUAAGUAACUAUGCACGUCUUGACGGUACCUAAUCAGAAAGCCACGGCUAACUACGUGCCAGCAGCCGCGGUAAUACGUAGGUGGCAAGUGUUAUCCGGAAUUAUUGGGCGUAAAGCGCGCGUAGGCGGUUUUUUAAGUCUGAUGUGAAAGCCCACGGCUCAACCGUGGAGGGUCAUUGGAAACUGGAAAACUUGAGUGCAGAAGAGGAAAGUGGAAUUCCAUGUGUAGCGGUGAAAUGCGAAGAGAUAUGGAGGAACACCAGUGGCGAAGGCGACUUUCUGGUCUGUAACUGACGCUGAUGUGCGAAAGCGUGGGGAUCAAACAGG